AGCGAAGCUGAUGAAGUCAGGGAUCGGAACGUGAAUGCCACUUCUAAUCCCAAGGCCGCAGGUUCGAAUCCUGCCGGGC
RNAcentral lists this transfer RNA (79 nucleotides) under Micromonospora carbonacea subsp. aurantiaca. Its description in RNAcentral is "tRNA-OTHER". The record is from RNAcentral. Lineage: Bacteria; Bacillati; Actinomycetota; Actinomycetes; Micromonosporales; Micromonosporaceae.